RNAcentral lists this ribosomal RNA (465 nucleotides) under uncultured bacterium. RNAcentral describes it as "partial 16S ribosomal RNA". It matches the Rfam family "Bacterial small subunit ribosomal RNA", at positions 28 to 507 of the family's 1533-position model. The record is from RNAcentral.
GACGAACGCUGGCGGCGUGCUUAACACAUGCAAGUCGUACGGUAAGGCCCUUUCGGGGGUACACGAGUGGCGAACGGGUGAGUAACACGUGAGUAACCUGCCCACAACUUUGGGAUAACGCUAGGAAACUGGUGCUAAUACUGGAUAUGUGCUCCUGCUGCAUGGUGGGGGUUGGAAAGCUCCGGCGGUUGUGGAUGGACUCGCGGCCUAUCAGCUUGUUGGUGGGGUAGUGGCCUACCAAGGCGGCGACGGGUAGCCGGCCUGAGAGGGUGACCGGCCACAUUGGGACUGAGAUACGGCCCAGACUCCUACGGGAGGCAGCAGUGGGGAAUAUUGCACAAUGGGCGCAAGCCUGAUGCAGCAACGCCGCGUGCGGGAUGACGGCCUUCGGGUUAUAAACCGCUUUCAGCAGGGACGAAGCUUUUUGUGACGGUACCUGCAGAAGAAGCACCGGCUAACUACGUG